UACGUAGGGGGCUAGCGUUGUCCGGAUUUAUUGGGCGUAAAGAGCGUGUAGGCGGCCUGGUAGGUCUGCUGUGAAAGUCCAGGGCUCAACCCUGGAAGGCCGGUGGAAACUGUCGGGCUAGAGUCCGGAAGAGGCGAGUGGAAUUCCCGGUGUAGCGGUGAAAUGCGCAGAUAUCGGGAGGAACACCAAUGGCGAAGGCAGCUCGCUGGGACGGUACUGACGCUGAGACGCGAAAGCGUGGGGAGCAAACAGG
RNAcentral lists this ribosomal RNA (253 nucleotides) under uncultured bacterium. RNAcentral's name for it is "partial 16S ribosomal RNA". It matches the Rfam family "Bacterial small subunit ribosomal RNA", at positions 524 to 776 of the family's 1533-position model. The record is from RNAcentral.